GUGAACGCUGGCGGUAGGCCUAACACAUGCAAGUCGAACGGCAGCACAGUAAGAGCUUGCUCUUACGGGUGGCGAGUGGCGGACGGGUGAGGAAUACAUCGGAAUCUACUUUUUCGUGGGGGAUAACGUAGGGAAACUUACGCUAAUACCGCAUACGACCUACGGGUGAAAGCAGGGGAUCUUCGGACCUUGCGCGAUUGAAUGAGCCGAUGUCGGAUUAGCUAGUUGGCGGGGUAAAGGCCCACCAAGGCGACGAUCCGUAGCUGGUCUGAGAGGAUGAUCAGCCACACUGGAACUGGAACACGGUCCAGACUCCUACGGGAGGCAGCAGUGGGGAAUAUUGGACAAUGGGCGCAAGCCUGAUCCAGCCAUACCGCGUGGGUGAAGAAGGCCUUCGGGUUGUAAAGCCCUUUUGUUGGGAAAGAAAAGCAGCAGGUUAAUACCCCGCUGUUCUGACGGUACCCAAAGAAUAAGCACCGGCUAACUUCGUG
This 491-nucleotide ribosomal RNA is filed under the name uncultured bacterium. RNAcentral describes it as "partial 16S ribosomal RNA". It matches the Rfam family "Bacterial small subunit ribosomal RNA", at positions 29 to 507 of the family's 1533-position model. The record is from RNAcentral.